RNAcentral lists this ribosomal RNA (120 nucleotides) under uncultured bacterium. RNAcentral's name for it is "partial 16S ribosomal RNA". It matches the Rfam family "Bacterial small subunit ribosomal RNA", at positions 215 to 334 of the family's 1533-position model. The record is from RNAcentral.
GCGCCCUGGGAUGAGCCCGCGUUAGAUUAGCUAGUUGGUGGGGUAAUGGCCCACCAAGGCGACGAUCUAUAGCUGGUCUGAGAGGAUGAUCAGCCACACUGGGACUGAGACACGGCCCAG